This 253-nucleotide ribosomal RNA is filed under the name uncultured bacterium. RNAcentral describes it as "partial 16S ribosomal RNA". It matches the Rfam family "Bacterial small subunit ribosomal RNA", at positions 524 to 776 of the family's 1533-position model. The record is from RNAcentral.
UACGGGGGGGGCAAGCGUUGUUCGGAAUUACUGGGCGUAAAGGGCGCGUAGGCGGCUCUUCAAGUCAGCCGUGAAAUCUCCAGGCUUAACCUGGAAGGGUCGGUUGAUACUGUCGAGCUAGAGUGUGGAAGAGGCAACUGGAAUUCCGUGUGUAGCGGUGAAAUGCGUAGAUAUACGGAGGAACACCUGCGGCGAAGGCGGGUUGCUGGGCCAACACUGACGCUGAGGCGCGAAAGCUAGGGUAGCAAACGGG